CAAGAAUUUAGGGAUUCUGGAUUGUGGCUGAAUGUGAUCAACUGUUUGAAAAAAUUCUUAAAUUGUUCAACACCUGCCUAUCCGCUUGCCAUUUUCCGUAACAAAGGCAGGGGCUAAACUUAUCUUAGCUGUUGCCCACAAUUUAUGAAGAGAUAAUCCGGUUCAUAGGAAAUGAG
This 176-nucleotide long non-coding RNA is filed under the name Callithrix jacchus (white-tufted-ear marmoset). RNAcentral describes it as "lncRNA (ENSCJAG00000079470.1)". Lineage: Eukaryota; Metazoa; Chordata; Mammalia; Primates; Cebidae. The record is from RNAcentral.